GUGCAGCGUUUUUUUAUUUCCUCUCGCCUGAACUUUUAUUAAAAACAUGGAGGAUUAAAUAUGUAAAAUAAAACAGUUUUCUAAACUGGACUUUCAAUCGAAGCAGGCGGUAAUAAUUAGAGGUAGACCGACGCCGGAGCUAAAAGGUUUGCUUUUGACUUCGGGAAGGAAGACCCGUUCUUUUCAAAUGGCGUGGUACACACGCAAAGGCUGGAUGUCCAGCAAGAAAGGCUAUCCACGCUGGAGCCCACUCCAGUGUAUCUGUUCAGCCCCUCUACCGACACAUCACGGCAUACUAUGGCAUCGUGGGAAGACACAAGUGACCCGCUACAUGCAGAGGUGGAGGACCCCAGAGGAAGGCGUGAGCAGGCCUGUAGUGCUGGCGGGCGUAGCGCAGCAGGCGUCUACGGGUGGCCGGCAGGCGAAUGGUGUAUACAAAGUAUUCCAGGAUGCUGUGUUGCAUGUUGGGAAGGGUGUUGUGAUGCAGUGACUCCUCCAGGAACAAGCGAACCAGUGGAGCUUUGAAGGCCUCAUACCCGAGUUCGCCGAGGGACUUCAGGAUGCGAGUGAUGCGCAGCACAGAUUGGCCGGCAGGGCGGACAGCAGCGGCCAGUGAUUGCGGCACAUCAACGGUACAAGAGACGGUGCAAGAAGGGCCCGACUUUGUGUCACAUACGGCUACUACGGCAAGUAGCUCUCCUUGUUGUAAAUACUUGAGUAAUCAAACAAGAGUCACAGAGUCUUUCACAUCCUUUUUGAUAUGCAGGCAUGUUCAAAUUUAAAAGGUUUCAAACCAAAUAUUACACAAUUUUUACAUGCAUCUCUAAGCUGGCCGUGAGCAGGCUAUUGUAUGAACACCUGGCCACCACAGUCCUGUGCUCUCUCGUAGUAGUUGUGUUUUUCUUUGUUUCUUGCAUUGAACAAAAGCAGUCUACCAAGUAAAAGU
Molecule: long non-coding RNA, 946 nt
Organism: Entelurus aequoreus (snake pipefish)
Lineage: Eukaryota; Metazoa; Chordata; Actinopteri; Syngnathiformes; Syngnathidae
Exons: 4
Source: RefSeq, a predicted model, not a curated record